Musa acuminata AAA Group (dessert banana) is the source of this 4138-nucleotide RNA transcript. RefSeq lists it as uncharacterized. The record is from RefSeq and is a predicted model, not a curated record. The transcript is spliced from 14 exons. Lineage: Eukaryota; Viridiplantae; Streptophyta; Magnoliopsida; Zingiberales; Musaceae.
UGUUUCUUCUCCGGUCUCGAUUCGAUGCUCUCCAAAUGUUGCCGUCGCAUCACGCAUUGGUUUCUACGAUAAUGCCAUCAUCCCAUGAUAAAGAAAUUAAUAACAUAACCAUACUUCUCGAACCUUCGUAGUUACCUCAAUAAUAUAUCUCUAUAAAUUAAAAGGAUUAUUUGAAUGUUUCGAACUCUCUUUAUGCAAAUCAAGAAGACAUAAUCUUAAUAUCAAAAUCCAUUCUUCACAUACUCUCAAGUUCCAGAAUUGAUAUGAUAAUGAAAUUGAAUCAUAAAAUACAAAAGGUAAUUGAAUCAUAUAUGUUUAAGUACCACACAUGGCUGGAAUUGGAUAGUUAACUAAGUUUGGAUUUAGAAUUUGGGAAAGAUUAAUAGUACUGUAUAUUAUCAUUCUUAACAGGAAAGCCAUUAUUCGCGCACUUAAAAUAGGCAAUACAUAAAUAGCGUAUUAUGAUAAAAUGAUAAAAUCACAAAAAUUGUUUCGUUAUAUUAUCAAUCAAAGCCAAAAAUAAAUAAUUAAUAUGUCAAUCAUUAUUGAGUGCAAAACUGCAUAAGUAUAGGGACACAUAUGGUAUUUUGAAGACGUGUAAGGGUACAUAUGUAAAAGUAUCCUAUUUUAUACUCGCUUAAUGACCUUAGCUGGACUAACGUCUCGCUGUUUCAACGAAUUCCACCCAACACUAAAUUAUGACCGUCUGAUCCUCUACUCCUCCGCAUCGCGCGUCUCCGGACGCCAAUCUCAACCAGCUUUGCUUUCGAUGUACCCGCCUCACACCAUUAAUGGGGGCUCGACAUUGCCCCUAUUUGGAGCUCCUCCUCCCUCGCUCGCUUCCUCUACCUCUCCCUGUCGUCCAAUUCCUUCCGUCCUUCCUCCGAAUGAGGGGGGAAUUCCACCUCUUUACGCUGGCUUCCGGCCCGAAAUCUUCGCCGCACUGCCUCUGAUCCGGUCUCCGGUGCUCCUCCGCUCGAUGGGGGAUCUCGGGGCCGGGCGGGGCACGGUCCUCUCCAAGCUGACGACGCUCCGAUGGACCUCCAUGUUUCUCGGGUUCUGCAACGUGGUGCUGUUUCUUUCGGGCGCCGUUCUGUUGGUCUCCCUCCCUUCCGGCUGCUCCGGCGUGGACCGGCUUGCGCUUGUUGUGUUGGCGCUCGUCGCCGCCGUCCGGAUCGCCUACAUGGUCGCGGCUGGGAGGGCUCAGCGGGCCACGGCAGAGACCAUCGUCAGCAAUGUGCUUGAGACUUCGGUCGAUGCCGAUGCGUUGAUCCGCCACGAGAGACGGAUGAGAUACAAGAAAUGGCUUUGGUGGACAAGGUUUGGGAUGAUGGUCACUGCAUUGCAAUUUGUGGUAGCACUUUAUCUUAUUUCUGUCUUCGCUAAAGAUUUUUCCUCGGGUGCUGAUGGCAACACGUGUUUAAAUGGACUCAAUGAUGAACGGUGGAAGAAAAUCUUGACAAUUUCUUUUCUUGUCCUUGUUUGGCUUGUGGUCAUCAUUCAGUGUUCUACUGGUUCUGAUGUACUGCGGUGGAGGUCUUUUUAUGCAACCCAUGAUACUGCAUGGAAAGCUCAUUACCGUGAAGUAUUUGAUCAUGGUAUUCGAGAAGUCUUAUGCUGUCUGGGACGUGUGAAAUACUUGAGUGUAUUGGAAGAAGAUGAAGUUUAUUCUGUGGCAAGAUUAUUGGGUGAUCUGGUGGCAUACCGUGCAUCAGGAACAGGACAUUUUGAGUUGUUAGCAGGGCUUGCAUUAUUGCAGAAGCAUAAGCAGUCUCCUCUGGUACACACUGACUUUGUUGAGGCACCUGAAGUUCAUCUUCAAGAGGCUGCUGUGUUCCAUCAAUUUGCUGAAGCUGCCUAUACAGGUCCACUUCUUGAUUUCGGAAGAAAUCCUAUUCUUUUUCCAUGUGCCUGGCUUUAUAGACAAGGGGUUUUAAGCCCAUGGACCCGUAACAGGCGCCCUAUGCUUGAAGGUGAUAACUGGUGGCGGGGUCAUGCAGCAGCUUUUCUAAAGUAUGUUAACAUGCCUCCGGAAGCUCUUCGACGUGGGCGUGUUAGUCAGACAAAGCGUGAGGCAGCUUACUUUGUUCUUGUUAUACAUGAUCUUAAAUCUGUAGUCAUAGCAGUACGUGGCACUGAGACUCCUGAAGACCUUAUAACAGAUGGUUUAUGCAGAAACUGCACUCUUUCUAUGGAUGACUUGGAUGGAAUAAUCAAUAGUGAUCAACUUCCCCAAACUGUCAAGGAUAGUGUUCUCUCAUCUUUCCCACAUUAUGGUCAUUCAGGAAUUGUUGAGUAUGCUCAAGAACUUGCCAUGCAAAUAGAUGGGCAACCUGUAGAUAAAGAUGGGUUGCAACCCAACAAAUCUGGAUUCCUUUCUUCUUUGAUGGGGAUAGGAUGUGAAUGCUAUGGAUAUAAACUUCGGAUUGUAGGACAUUCAUUAGGAGGUGCUGUUGCAACAAUGCUAGGGCUGAGGUUUUAUGCUCGAUAUCCAAACUUACAUGUGUAUACAUAUGGAACCCUUCCUUGUGUUGACUCGGUUGUAGCUGAGGCAUGUUCAGACUUUGUUACUUGCAUUAUAUACAAUGAUGAAUUUUCUGCGCGGCUCUCUGUUAACUCCAUCCUUAGACUUCGUGCUGCUGCCAUUGGUGCUAUUUCAAAUGAUUCUAUUAGUGACUCAGCAAUGGUUGCCAAAAUUGUCCGAAAAGUUCUUCAUGCAAAGAAGUCCCAUCAGAAAACGAAACACCAUGAUGCUUCUGCCCCAUCUCUUGAGCAGGGCAAUGAGACAAUUAAAGAUGGUAACCAUGUUUGUAAAAGGAACCAUUUGAAGUAUACUAUCAAAGGUGGGGUUUUUCUUUGUGGCCAUGCAGUUUCUUGUAUGGUGAGUAUGCCUAAUCAUAAUCCUGGCUCACAUAUUAUAAAUGAGACCAAGACACCAGCUGGAGGAACAUCAGAAAUUAAUGGUGCAUCUGUUGAAGUACUACCACAUACAUUUGCUGCAAAAAGCAGGCAACCUGACCGACAGAUAUAUCAGGAUGAAACUUAUUUCUUUGAUGAACCAAGUAGUGGUUUUCCACAUGAAGGUUUUGAUGCUUUUGACCAAUCUGACCUGAGUGAAGCAACAGUGUUUGAGAAUUCUGAUAACCUGUUUCAGUUUGAUGAUCGACUCUCUCCAAUUGUGGAUGACCCCUUAUCCCAUGUCCAAGAUUCAGAGGGAAGAUCUGUUGAGAUGUACAUACCAGGCCUCCUCAUUCAUAUAGUACGAGUUCAAAAGAGCAAUUCACCUAUGUGGAAAAGCUGGAUAAUUAACGACAGUGAGUAUGACUAUAAGGCUUUUGUUGCAAACAAGGAGAGUUUCAAGGACAUUGUUGUGUCAUCUUAUAUGUUCCUCGAUCAUCUACCAUGGAGGUGUCACUAUGCAAUUCAAAAAGCUUUAGAAACCCGGAAACAUAAAGGCCAACUCACUGAUGAUUUAUUUAACGAGGAGAGCAUGGUAUAAGUGUCAUAUGUCUAUGAGAUUAUUUUCCUGCAAAGAGUUCUUUCUAUUAUGCUGCUCUACAAGAUCAUAUGAGCAGUGAUUUUUGUCGGGCCGUCUCCAAAAAUACUUGCAAGAAUCAGACUGAAGAAACAAUGGAAAGGUUGUUUUCUGUCUCCGACUACAGAGAAUAUCUAAUGGCUUUGGCUGGAGAUAAUUUCUUUCCUGCUUUUCAAGACAGAGUUUACCGAUCUAAAGCUACCAGAAUUUAGAUCAGGGGCCUCAGAAUCUUAUCGUAUGCCAAGGUAAUGCACCAAAGGGUCCUGGCUGUACAUAGCAAACUUUACAAUGGACCGCCUUUUUUUUCCGAGAAAAAAGUUGUUCAAAUGUUUCACUGAGCAACCGAGAACCUUGGUAGCAGGCAGGCUUCAAAAGGGCAGCUUGAAUCAGUUGUUGCAGUUGUUCAUAUUGUUCUUGAAGUUAUUAUGAUAGGAAGCCAUUGUUGUGUUAUCUAAAUUUGACAUGUACUUCAAACGCAAAGCAUUGAUGUCAUUUAAUAUCAUUGUCAUUUAAUAUCUUUAUUAGAAAGAUAUCUUCAUUUCGUCCGAUCAGAAUAUUGGCUGAUGGCAUUAAAAACAACGAAUUCUUUUCACUUUAAUCAAA